Molecule: unclassified non-coding RNA, 27 nt
Filed under: Mus musculus (house mouse)
Lineage: Eukaryota; Metazoa; Chordata; Mammalia; Rodentia; Muridae
Description: oocyte_clustered_small_RNA687
Source: RNAcentral
UUUGAGGCAUAUCAGGGUAUCCAAGGC